Molecule: long non-coding RNA, 965 nt
Filed under: Lactuca sativa (garden lettuce)
Lineage: Eukaryota; Viridiplantae; Streptophyta; Magnoliopsida; Asterales; Asteraceae
Description: long non-coding RNA (LSAT_LNC003310)
Source: RNAcentral
GGGUUCUAAGUUUGUUCACAUGACGACUAUGUUAUCAAUAGCGCGCUAUAGUGGUGCUAUAGCGGCGCUAUAGUGUUUUGCGGUGUUAUUGAACCGCUAUUUUUAAAUAGCGUUUACAAAUAGCGGUGACGCUAUUAGCGGUGCUAUUCACCACUAUUUACCGCGAACCUCAUCAACGCUAUAGCGACGCUAUACCCGCUUUUACAAUUUCAUACAUAUUGGGAUACUUUGACAAGGAAAAAAAAUGAUUGUGUGUUAUUUCAAUAUUAAAUCUUUAUUUUUCUAACUAGUCAACUACAAUUUUUGUCUUAAUAAGUCCAAAUAAUAAAUAUAAUUAAUUACAAACUACAAAGCAACACUGGAAAACUUCCCUUUAUCGUCUAUUUCAGUACUUAGAAACCACGAACGACUUGAGUUACGAUGACAUUUUGACACUUUUUAGUUUCCAUAUUACUAUAUUAGAAUAUUAUAUAUACAUUAUGUUAUGCUUUUUUAUGAUAUUAAGUCUAUAUAGUAUUAAUAAUUUAAUAUAUAAAUUUUGUAUAAAUAUAUAAUAGAAAUUAUACAUAAUAAUAAAAAACCGCUAUACCACUGCUAUACCACCGCGAUAACCGCGAUUUCAAAUAGCGGCAUGUGACCGCUAUUGAAAUACUACCGCGAUAAUUGCUUAGCAUGACGAUGCGAUUUCUCGUAGGCUUAGGCAGUUCUCCGUCCUGAAGUUCAUAUUAGAAUUCAUACCUGGUUUCACAAUCACUUUUUCGUGUAUACGAGUCGUAUAUAAUUAAGAUUGAAAAGGUAGUCGAAUAACUGAUUCUUCUUUAAGCUCACAUCCCCUGGGGGAAAAAGAAGUUAAAGUGGAAUCAUCAAUUCUAAACCUGUAGAACCUUGAUUAUAUAUCACUCUUAUGCAUACAUUCCUUAGUGAUAGAUUAAUCGUAUGAAUCCUUGGAUUGAACUUGACGUACU